UUUUUUUUCUUUUUCUUUUUUUGGCCACUUUGUGGCAUAUGGAGUUCCCAGGCCAUGGAUCAGAUCCAAGCCGAAGUUGUGACCUAUGCUGCAGCUGCGCAUCGCCAGGUCCUUAACCCACUGUGCUGGGCGGGGAAUGGAACCCACAUCCUGGUGCUCCAGAGACAACACUGAUCCCAAUGCACCACAGCGGGAACUCCUCAAAGGGCUAUUGUUUGAGGCUUGGCCCUUGUGGAACCUGGUCUGGAAAUGUGGCCCCCAUAAAUCCUCCCACCCCUGUUUGCAUGUGUGGCUUCUCUCAUUCAAAUGAGUUAUUUCCCCUUUUCCUUGAAGCUGAGCAAGGCUUACACCUUACUUUGACCAAUAGAAUACUGUUAAGUGACAUUAUAUGACUUCCAAGCUGAGGCCUUGAAAACCGCCAUGUAAAUAAGCUCAUUCUCUAUGAUUUGAGACCAUAAGGACAGAUUGAGAGCCCAACCUUUUGGCUGUCCCCAGCAAUGCCCAGACAGGUAGAUAAGGCCAUCUUGGACCUUCUAGCCCAGGACAACCCAGCUGCCAACUAUGUGCAGCCAGAUGAGUGGACUCAGGUAAGAAGUUCAAGGAAUGCCCAACCGGCCCAAAGAAUGAAGAGAAAUAACAGAUUGCUGUUGUUGAAGUUCCUAAGUCUGGGAAUGCCUUGUUACACAGCAAUAGCUAAUAGAUACAGCAUUCUCACAGCCAUUCGCAUCAAGUCAAGUAUCUCUAGGCCUGGUAUCUGAGCUCUCCCUGUGAACCUUUAUGAGCAUAGGUAGUGGAUUACAAGGCCCAUGUCCUGGGCAUCCAAAUGCCAGGGGCAGAUGUCACCUAUUCCUACCUGGUCAGUGACACUGGCUGCAAACCAGUAAAUAAAGAGCAUCAAUCCCAGUAUCGGAGAUCCUGGCCCCAAUAUUUACCUGUUCAGUGUAAAAUAUCACUUCCAAUUUCUGCCCCAUAAAAAUUGGGAAAAGUAAUAUCAGGAUACUGUUAUUGGUAAUACUGGGAUAAGCGGAAAAGUUGUUUCUGCCCCUGGGACAUUCUAAGAUAAAUAAUUACACCCUGUAACUGAAAAGACAGAAGAGAAAAUUUAAACAUUAUACUAAGCUAGCUCAGACCUGAUGGUAGAGAAGCUAGGUUACUCAGAGAAUGCCUUCAUUCCAGCAAUCUUUUCAACCCUCACCUUCUCAACACCAGACGUGGCACUGCAAAGAUGAGUAAGACAGCUCUGCAAGAACUUCCUGUCUAACCCAGGGAACAAACAACAAACAAAUACACGUGAUUCACUGUUAUGAAUCAUGAGGAGGAAGAACACUGGCAUGGAUCUCAGUAGGACCAAAAAGUAACAAGUUUUUCCUUUGUUUGAACUGGCAAGAAUCUGUGCUUACAAAGGAACAUUCUUCUUUCACUUCACCUUGGGAAGCAAUCCUUUUUUCAAUAAUGCUGCCCUUUCCUAACAGGAGUUUUCCUAACUUCUGGAACGAGAUCAAAUAAAGAUUCACACAAGAAAACGCCUCAGUAUUUUAAACCAACAGACCAAUAUGGUACCAUCCUGCAGGCCCUUUCAUUGAAUUUGGUAAUGAAGGACAUUUUGGCUCUUUCAGGAAAAAAAAAGGGGUCAACAUCCUUCUUCAACUAAUGAGACCCUGAAGUUCCCUUGUGGUGUAUGGGUUAAGGAUCCAGCUUUGUCACUGCAGUGGCUCUGGUUGCUGCUGUGGCGUGGGUUGGAUCCCUCGCCACAGGCACAGCUAAAAAUAAUUUAAAAAUAAAAAAUGAGGCCAUGCCACCUUUAAGGAUAUUGAAAAAAAUAUGUAAGGCUCUGAAGGCAGUUCAACAGCUGUGUGUGCACUGUUAGAAUGUUAAGGCCUACCAGGCUGACUACGUGGAGUGUACUGUUCCCACUUGAGUGUCGUACAAGUUCUACAGGGAGGGGGUGGGGGGCAGGGGUCUGCCUAAUUGCUUUGGUCUACAGAUACAACUCUGAGGUUUAUCGUUCUAUUUCAGGUGUCUUCAUCUUUCUCACUUGCAACCCAAGCCCUCGAGGACAGACUGCCAAAAAAGCCUUUAAAAACAGGGAGGCUUGGGAGUUCUCUGGUGGCCUAGUUGCUAAGGAUCCGGUGUUGUCACUGCUGUGGCUUGGGUUCAGUCCCCAGCCCGGGAACUUUUUUUUUUUCUUAAAUACAUACUGUUGUGGGAUUCUCCCCCACUUUUUAAUUCUUAAAACAUGUUUAAAUUUUUUACUUAUUUUUCUUUUUACAGCUGCACAUAUGGCAUGUGGAGGUUCCCAGGCUAGAAGCUGAAUCGGACCCAGCCUACACCACAGCCGCAGCAACACUGGAUCCUUGACCCAUUGAGCAAGGCCAGGGAUUGAACCCACAUCCUCACAGACACUAUAUUGGGUUUUUAACCUACUGAGUCACAACAGGAACUCCAAGGCCCAUGAAAUUUUACCUGCCAAGUUUUGCAGCCAAAACAACAGCAACCGCCAAAAGCAAAAACAAAAAAACCCCCCAAAAACCCGAGGGAGGCUCAUGGGCAUCAGCGGGGUUUGGGAUGCUCUACAUCAGAGUCCGGCCAAAGCCCUUAAGGCACACAGUGUGGAAUGUUCUAAACACUUUAAAAGGAAGCUCAGGUCAAUAUAGAAAAAGGCCCAUUAUACUUCCCUCACUGCCUUCAUGUCAAGUUAUGUUAACCUAUAACAUAGAGACAAUGUGACUAAGGCACAGGGAUGCUGGCUUCAGUGCCCAGUCCACCUCCCCCUCUUCCCGGCACUGUCUGUACAGCAGCCAGACCUGGGAGCUGCCUCAGGUAAGCUUCCUGGGCACAGGCUCUAUUUGUCUAACUGAACAGGGUGCUAGGGACACCUGUAAUCCUACCUGCUUACCUCUGAUUAACCUUAGCCAGGUACGGGGCUUAGGUAUGACCCAAACAACAACCCCGGUAGCCUUGGGGUCGAAUGCCCAGUAAGAGACUGGGAACAUGGUAGUUGGUGGGGGAAGGGUGGAGGAAAAUUUCUGACCCACUCAAAGGUUCUGCUGGUUUAUGGUGUUACUGGAGAUUUUUAAGACCCCACAGACUCAAAUAUUCACCUGUGACACUCCCUUAGGUCACUUUCUCUCAAGUUCUCCAGACCACCUAACUUCAGAUCAGGGGCUCAGCCUAGGGAGGGUAAAUGACCAUGAAAAGCAAACUGAACUCAGAGGAAUGGAGAUGGUUCAAAUAAUUUGCUCUCCUUUUCCUCUAGGGACAAACACUGCAGUGCCCUUUCUAGCAAGAGUGACCAGUGGACACUCACUCCAAAAGCUUUUUUUUUGGCCUUUUCUUUGCAGAAGUUUCCGGGCUAGGGAUUGAAGCCAAGCCACAGCAGUGACCUGAGCCACAGCAGUGACAAUGCUGGAUCCUUAACAUGCUGAGCCACCAAGGAACUCCUCCAAAAAGCUCUUGACACACCCCCACCCUCUGUCAAAAACCUGGAUCUGCAGACCCUUCUGUAAAGAAGAAUGCUAAGUCCAACCUCAAGAAUUUACCUGAAUAGAAGCAUCACUUUGUGUCAAACCCCAGAGGUCUGAAAGGGUGAGGGUUGUCAUAUUCGUCACUCACUCCUGAGUACUCAGAGCUUGGUACUUACACCAAUGGCUGGGAGCUAGUUAGAAAUGCUGGAUCUCAGGCCUUACCCCCUCAACUGAAGAAUCAGAAUCUGCUAUGAAAUGAGGCCCCAGGUCAUUCACAUGCACAUUGAAGACUGAGAAACAGCACCCCAGAUGGAAGCAGAAGCGGGGUAGGAAUGACCUUUUUUCAUGAGGUCAAGUUCCUCUAUGGGCAGGGCAAAGGGGUGGGCUGAAGUGGGCUUUGGAGUUAGACCCCACACU
This 3881-nucleotide long non-coding RNA is filed under the name Sus scrofa (pig). Its description in RNAcentral is "lncRNA (ENSSSCG00005037610.1)". The record is from RNAcentral. Lineage: Eukaryota; Metazoa; Chordata; Mammalia; Artiodactyla; Suidae.